Molecule: non-coding RNA, 30 nt
Filed under: Rattus norvegicus (Norway rat)
Lineage: Eukaryota; Metazoa; Chordata; Mammalia; Rodentia; Muridae
Source: RNAcentral
CUCACGUCCAUGACGAAUACUCGAGAACCC